UACCAGCUCUCCGAGUGGUGUGGAUGUUUAUUGGGCCUAAAGCAUCCGUAGCUGGCUGGACAAGUCCCCUGUUAAAUCCACCGAUUUAAUCGUUGGUGUGCGGGGGAUACUGUUCGGCUAGGGGACGGGAGAGGCCGACGGUAUUUCCGGGGUAGGGGUGAAAUCCUAUAAUCCCGGAAAGACCACCAGUGGCGAAGGCUGUCGGCUAGAACGCGCCCGACGGUGAGGGAUGAAAGCUGGGGGAGCGAACCGGAUUAGAUACCCGGGUAGUCCCAGCUGUAAACGAUGCAGGCUAGGUGUUUGGGCGGCCACGUGCCGCUCUAGUGCCGCAGGGAAGUUGUUAAGCCUGCCGCCUGGGGAGUACGGCCGCAAGGCUGAAACUUAAAGGAAUUGGCGGGGAGCACCACAAGGGGUGAAGCUUGCGGUUU
This 428-nucleotide ribosomal RNA is filed under the name uncultured archaeon. RNAcentral describes it as "bacterial SSU rRNA". It matches the Rfam family "Archaeal small subunit ribosomal RNA", at positions 474 to 903 of the family's 1478-position model. The record is from RNAcentral.